CGCCAUUUUGUCUCCGUCAGGCGCGGCGCGGGUUGUCGGGGCGAGGUGGGCGAGCUGGUGUCUGGCGAGGGGGAUUCGGCCCGCAUCUCACGAUGAUAUCGGCCGCCCAGCUCCUCGAUGAGCUCAUGGGCAGGGACAGGAACCUGGCCCCGGAUGAAAAGCGCAGCAACGUGCGGUGGGACCACGAGAGUGUUUGCAAAUACUAUCUUUGUGGCUUUUGCCCAGCUGAGUUAUUUACAAACACCCGUUCUGAUUUAGGUCCUUGUGAAAAAAUUCAUGAUGAAAAUCUACGCAAACAGUAUGAGAAGAGCUCUCGAUUCAUGAAGGUGGGCUAUGAGAGGGAUUUCCUGCGCUAUUUGCAGAGCUUGCUUGCAGAGGUGGAGCGCAGGAUCCGCAGGGGCCACGCUCGCCUGGCCCUCUCACAGAACCAGCAGUCCUCUGGGGGAGGUGGACCUACCGGUAAAAACGAGGAGAAGAUUCAGGUGUUAACUGACAAAAUUGAUGUACUGCUUCAACAGAUUGAAGAACUAGGUUCAGAAGGAAAGGUGGAAGAAGCACAAGGAAUGAUGAAACUUGUUGAACAGUUAAAGGAAGAGAGAGAACUGCUGAGGUCUACGACUUCAACAAUUGAGAGCUUUGCAGCCCAGGAAAAACAAAUGGAAGUUUGUGAAGUUUGUGGAGCCUUUUUAAUUGUAGGAGAUGCACAGUCCAGGGUAGAUGACCACUUAAUGGGAAAGCAGCACAUGGGUUAUGCCAAAAUAAAAGCUACUGUAGAAGAUUUAAAAGAAAAGUUACGAAAAAGAACAGAAGAGCCUGACCGUGAUGAAAGGUUGAAAAAAGAGAAGCUAGAACGAGAAGAGAGGGAGAAAGAGAGGGAGCGGGAACGAGAAGAGCGGGAAAGGAAGAGACGACGUGAGGAGGAGGAAAAGGAGAAAGAGAGGGCUCGUGACAGAGAGAGGCGUAAAAGGAGCCGCUCCCGGAGCAGGCAUUCCAGCAGGACAUCUGACAGGAGGUGCAGCCGCUCACGAGACCACAAAAGGUCAAGAAGCAGAGAAAGAAGACGAAGCAGGAGUCGUGAUCGGAAGAGAAGCAGAAGCCACGAUAGAUCAGAAAGGAAACACAGGUCUCGGAGUAGGGACAGGAGACGGUCAAAAAGCCGGGAUCGAAAAUCCUACAAGCACAGAAGCAAAAGCAGAGAGAGAGAACAAGACAGGAAGUCAAAAGAAAAAGGACAGAAGAUAAGAUUAUUGGACUGACUACUAGUCCUCUGCGGGGAAACAAGACUACUAUUCCUCAGUGGAUCCACGUGUGCACCGGAGAUACCUUUAAGGCACAAAAAGAAGACUUUGUAACAAGAAAAGAGGGGAUCUGAUGAUAAAAAAAGUAGUGUGAAGUCCAGUAGUCGAGAAAAACAGAGUGAAGACACAAAUACAGACUCGAAGGAGAGUGAGACUAAGAAUGAGGUCAAUGGGACCAAUGAAGACAUUAAAUCUGAAGGUGACACUCAGUCCAAUUAAAACUGAUCUGAUAUGACCUCAGAUCAGACAGAGGACUACUAUGUGAAGAGUCUGCGAAGAUAGUGGAAGACAGCUUAAACUGAAGAUCUGCUUUUAAAUGAGGUGAAAGAAAGCUGUAGUGGCAUAGAAAAAUAUAAAGUUGAGUUAGAUUUUUUUUUAAUAAAAUUUAAUUCAGGACUGGUGUUUCCUCCCAGAGUUCAAAAAGAUGUGUUGAUAAUAGCACAUAUGCUACUGAGAAUAUAAGUCCUGUAUCCUUCUUUUUCUUUAAGACUUUUUAAGAUAAGAAACCAACAUAACCUGAACACAUGGCUUGCUCAGUGUUUAAUUGCAAGUUUUCAUUCUUGGACUUUAAAACACAAGAAUAAAUGUUUAGUAUUUGUGUGAAUUGAACUAAAAUGAAUCCCAUUUUUACAACUAAGCAAUUCCUAGCUUCUUGAUAUAUGAGAAAUGGAAAUAAAGUAUCUUUGAAUUUCUGUUACAAAUUUGAUUGUCUCUGUCAUUGAACAUUUAAUAUUAAAUAAGCUUCUUUCCUAAUAAA
Zonotrichia leucophrys gambelii is the source of this 2055-nucleotide RNA transcript. It is a transcript of the gene named LUC7 like 3 pre-mRNA splicing factor, with no coding region annotated. Lineage: Eukaryota; Metazoa; Chordata; Aves; Passeriformes; Passerellidae. The record is from RefSeq and is a predicted model, not a curated record. The transcript has 12 exons.